CGGGUGCACUGAUCCAGCCGGGCCUUUCCCUCUGUGGAACCCCAUGGCCUUCACUGGCUGUGGUGGGGAAACAGGACUUUUACUUUGAAAAAAUUAGAGUGCUCCAGGCAGGCCUAUGCUCGAAUACAUUAGCAUGGAAUAAUAGAAUAGGACGUGUGGUUCUAUUUUGUUGGUUUCUAGGACCGCCGUAAUGAUUAAUAGGGACAGUCGGGGGCAUCAGUAUUCAAUUGUCAGAGGUGAAAUUCUUGGAUCUAUUGAAGACUAACUACUGCGAAAGCAUUUGCCAAGAAUGUUUUCAUUGAUAAGGAACGAAAGUUAGGGGAUCGAAGACGAUCAGAUACCGUCGUAGUCUUAACUAUAAACUAUGCCGACUAGGGAUCGGACGAUGUUAUUCUUUGACGCGUUCGGCACCUUUCGAGAAAUCAAAGUGCUUGGGCUCCAGGGGGAGUAUGGUCGCAAGGCUGAAACUUAAAGAAAUUGACGGAAGGGCACCACCAGGGGUGGAACCUGCGGCUUAAUUUGACUCAACACGGGGAAACUCACCAGGUCCAGACACAGUGAGGAUUGACAGAUUGAGAGCUCUUUCUUGAUUCUGUGGGUGGUGGUGCAUGGCCGUUCUUAGUUGGUGGAGUGAUUUGUCUGCUUAAUUGCGAUAACGAACGAGACCUUAACCUGCUAAAUAGCCCGUACUGCUUUGGCAGUUCGCCGGCUUCUUAGAGGGACUAUCGG
RNAcentral lists this ribosomal RNA (729 nucleotides) under uncultured eukaryote. RNAcentral describes it as "SSU rRNA". It matches the Rfam family "Eukaryotic small subunit ribosomal RNA", at positions 670 to 1426 of the family's 1831-position model. The record is from RNAcentral.